CGCUAUAAUGCAGUCGACGAACUCUGGUAUUGAUUGGUGCUUGCAUCAUGAUUUACAUUUGAGUGAGUGGCGAACUGGUGAGUAACACGUGGGAAACCUGCCCAGAAGCGGGGGAUAACACCUGGAAACAGAUGCUAAUACCGCAUAACAACUUGGACCGCAUGGUCCGAGUUUGAAAGAUGGCUUCGGCUAUCACUUUUGGAUGGUCCCGCGGCGUAUUAGCUAGAUGGUGGGGUAACGGCUCACCAUGGCAAUGAUACGUAGCCGACCUGAGAGGGUAAUCGGCCACAUUGGGACUGAGACACGGCCCAAACUCCUACGGGAGGCAGCAGUAGGGAAUCUUCCACAAUGGACGAAAGUCUGAUGGAGCAACGCCGCGUGAGUGAAGAAGGGUUUCGGCUCGUAAAACUCUGUUGUUAAAGAAGAACAUAUCUGAGAGUAACUGUUCAGGUAUUGACGGUAUUUAACCAGAAAGCCACGGCUAACUACGUGCCAGCAGCCGCGGUAAUACGUAGGUGGCAAGCGUUGUCCGGAUUUAUUGGGCGUAAAGCGAGCGCAGGCGGUUUUUUAAGUCUGAUGUGAAAGCCUUCGGCUCAACCGAAGAAGUGCAUCGGAAACUGGGAAACUUGAGUGCAGAAGAGGACAGUGGAACUCCAUGUGUAGCGGUGAAAUGCGUAGAUAUAUGGAAGAACACCAGUGGCGAAGGCGGCUGUCUGGUCUGUAACUGACGCUGAGGCUCGAAAGUAUGGGUAGCAAACAGGAUUAGAUACCCUGGUAGUCCAUACCGUAAACGAUGAAUGCUAAGUGUUGGAGGGUUUCCGCCCUUCAGUGCUGCAGCUAACGCAUUAAGCAUUCCGC
Molecule: ribosomal RNA, 858 nt
Filed under: Lactiplantibacillus plantarum
Lineage: Bacteria; Bacillati; Bacillota; Bacilli; Lactobacillales; Lactobacillaceae
Description: bacterial SSU rRNA
Rfam family: Bacterial small subunit ribosomal RNA
Source: RNAcentral